AUUGAACGCUGGCGGCAUGCUUUACACAUGCAAGUCGAACGGUAACAGGGAGCUUGCUCCGCUGACGAGUGGCGAACGGGUGAGUAAUGUAUCGGAACGUACCCAAGAGUGGGGGAUAACGUAGCGAAAGUUACGCUAAUACCGCAUACGAUCUAUGGAUGAAAGUGGGGGACCUUCGGGCCUCAUGCUCCUGGAGCGGCCGAUAUCUGAUUAGCUAGUUGGUGAGGUAAAGGCUCACCAAGGCGACGAUCAGUAGCUGGUCUGAGAGGACGACCAGCCACACUGGGACUGAGACACGGCCCAGACUCCUACGGGAGGCAGCAGUGGGGAAUUUUGGACAAUGGGGGCAACCCUGAUCCAGCAAUGCCGCGUGAGUGAAGAAGGCCUUCGGGUUGUAAAGCUCUUUUGUCAGGGAAGAAACGGUUCAGGCUAAUAUCCUGGGCUAAUGACGGUACCUGAAGAAUAAGCACCGGCUACUACGUGCCAGCAGCCGCAGUAA
Molecule: ribosomal RNA, 499 nt
Filed under: uncultured bacterium
Lineage: Bacteria
Description: partial 16S ribosomal RNA
Rfam family: Bacterial small subunit ribosomal RNA
Source: RNAcentral